RNAcentral lists this ribosomal RNA (776 nucleotides) under uncultured archaeon. RNAcentral describes it as "bacterial SSU rRNA". It matches the Rfam family "Archaeal small subunit ribosomal RNA", at positions 102 to 859 of the family's 1478-position model. The record is from RNAcentral.
AGUCAAGCUGCCCUCGGGCCGAGGAUAAUCUCGGGAAACUGAGGCUAAUACUCGAUAGAUCAAGAUUCCUGGAAUGGGUUUUGGUCCCAAACGAGGUAACAACAUCUUUGUUACAUUUCGCCCGAGGAUGCGACUGCGGCCGAUCAGGCUGUUGGUGGGGUAAAGGCCCCACCAAACCAGUAACCGGUACGGGCUUUGAGAGAAGGAGCCCGGAGAUGGACACUGAGACAAGGGUCCAGGUCCUACGGGGCGCAGCAGGCGCGAAACCUUCGCAAUGCGCGCAAGCGCGACGAGGUUAUUCCGAGUGAUUUCCGCUGAGGAAAUCUUUUCUCAGAUCUAAAAAGUCUGGGGAAUAAGGGGAGGGCAAGUCUGGUGUCAGCCGCCGCGGUAAUACCAGCUCCUCGAGUGGUCAGGGCGUUUAUUGGGCCUAAAGCAUCCGUAGCCUGCUUGGUAGGUCUCCUGUUAAAUCCAAUGACUCAAUCAUUGGUCUGCAGGAGAUACCGCUAGGCUAGGAGGCGGGAGAGGCGGACGGUACUCCGAGGGUAGGGGUAAAAUCCUUUGAUCCCCGGAAGACCACCAGUGGCGAAGGCGGUCCGCCAGAACGCGCUCGACGGUGAGGGAUGAAAGCUGGGGGAGCGAACCGGAUUAGAUACCCGGGUAGUCCCAGCUGUAAACGAUGCGAGCUAGGUGACACGACGCCUUCGGGGCAUCGUGGUGCUGCAGGGAAGCCGUUAAGCUCGCCGUCUGGGGAGUACGGACGCAAGUCUGAAACUUAA